GUAGAUAGGUUGGGAGUGGAAGUGCCGUAAGGCAUGCAGCGGACCAAUACUAAUAAAUCGAGGGCUUAUCUUU
This 73-nucleotide ribosomal RNA is filed under the name Pseudoselenomonas ruminantium. RNAcentral's name for it is "Selenomonas ruminantium (feces metagenome) partial 23S ribosomal RNA". The record is from RNAcentral. Lineage: Bacteria; Bacillati; Bacillota; Negativicutes; Selenomonadales; Selenomonadaceae.